AAGAGCCUGGCGGUAUGCUUAACACAUGCAAGUCGAACGGGCUCUUUUGGUGGCAAGUGGCGGACGGGUGAGUAACGCGUGAGAAUCUGGCUCUAGGUUCGGGACAACCACUGGAAACGGUGGCUAAUACCGGAUGUGCCGAGAGGUGAAAGGUUAACUGCCUGGAGAUGAGCUCGCGUCUGAUUAGCUAGUUGGUGGUGUAAGGGACUACCAAGGCGACGAUCAGUAGCUGGUCUGAGAGGAUGAUCAGCCACACUGGAACUGAGACACGGUCCAGACUCCUACGGGAGGCAGCAGUGGGGAAUUUUCCGCAAUGGGCGAAAGCCUGACGGAGCAAUACCGCGUGAGGGAGGAAGGCUCUUGGGUUGUAAACCUCUUUUCUCAGGGAAUAAGCAAGUGAAGGUACCUGAGGAAUCAGCAUCGGCUAACUCCGUGCCAGCAGCCGCGGUAAUACGGAGGAUGCAAGCGUUAUCCGGAAUGAUUGGGCGUAAAGCGUCCGUAGGUAGCAGUGUGUGUCUAUUGUUAAAGAGUUUGGCUUAACCAAAUAAAGGCGGUAGAAACUACACAGCUAGAGUGCGUUCGGGGCAGAGGGAAUUCCUGGUGUGGCGGUGAAAUGCGUAGAGAUCAGGAAGAACACCGGUGGCGAAAGCGCUCUGCUAGGCCGCAACUGACACUGAGGGACGAAAGCUAGGGGAGCGAAUGGGAUUAGAUACCCCAGUAGUCCUAGCCGUAACCGAUGGAUACUAGGCGUUGAGAGUAUCGACCCUCUCAGUGCCGUAGCUAACGCGUUAAGUAUCCCGCCUGGGGAGUACGCACGCAAGUGUGAAACUCAAUGGAAUUGACCGGGGCCCGCCCAAGCGGUGG
This 864-nucleotide ribosomal RNA is filed under the name Fischerella ambigua BAT1. RNAcentral describes it as "bacterial SSU rRNA". It matches the Rfam family "Bacterial small subunit ribosomal RNA", at positions 29 to 935 of the family's 1533-position model. Lineage: Bacteria; Bacillati; Cyanobacteriota; Cyanophyceae; Nostocales; Hapalosiphonaceae. The record is from RNAcentral.